Molecule: ribosomal RNA, 253 nt
Filed under: Faecalibacterium prausnitzii
Lineage: Bacteria; Bacillati; Bacillota; Clostridia; Eubacteriales; Oscillospiraceae
Description: partial 16S ribosomal RNA
Rfam family: Bacterial small subunit ribosomal RNA
Source: RNAcentral
AACGUAGGUCACAAGCGUUGUCCGGAAUUACUGGGUGUAAAGGGAGCGCAGGCGGGAAGGCAAGUUGGAAGUGAAAUCUAUGGGCUCAACCCAUAAACUGCUUUCAAAACUGUUUUUCUUGAGUAGUGCAGAGGUAGGCGGAAUUCCCGGUGUAGCGGUGGAAUGCGUAGAUAUCGGGAGGAACACCAGUGGCGAAGGCGGCCUACUGGGCACCAACUGACGCUGAGGCUCGAAAGUGUGGGUAGCAAACAGG